Molecule: non-coding RNA, 72 nt
Organism: Phrynosoma platyrhinos (Desert horned lizard)
Lineage: Eukaryota; Metazoa; Chordata; Lepidosauria; Squamata; Phrynosomatidae
Source: the annotation of a GenBank genome assembly
GCCAGUGUGGCUUAGCGGUUGGAGUGUUGGACAACAAUUCUGGAGACCAGGGUUCCAUUCCUUGCUAUGAUU